UCGAUCCCGACAGGCUCCACCAUUUGAGUGAAACGACUUUGGGUCUGUAGCUCAGGUGGUUAGAGCGCACCCCUGAUAAGGGUGAGGUCGGUGGUUCGAGUCCUCCCAGACCCACCACUCUGAAUGUAGUGCACACUUAAGAAUUUAUAUGGAUCAGCGUUGAGGCUGAGACAUGUUCUUUUAUAACUUGUGACGUAGCGAGCGUUUGAGAUAUCUAUCUAAACGUGUCGUUGAGGCUAAGGCGGGGACUUCGAGUCCCUAAAUAAUUGAGUCGUAUGUUCGCGUUGGUGGCUUUGUACCCCACACAACACGGCAGAUAGCUCCGAGGCAACUUGGGGUUAUAUGGUCAAGCGAAUAAGCGCACACGGUGGAUGCCUAGGCGGUCAGAGGCGAUGAAGGACGUGGUAGCCUGCGAAAAGUGUCGGGGAGCUGGCAACAAGCUUUGAUCCGGCAAUAUCCGAAUGGGGAAACCCACUGCUUCGGCAGUAUCCUGCAGUGAAUUCAUAGCUGCUGGAAGCGAACCCGGUGAACUGAAAUAUCUAAGUAACCG
Molecule: unclassified non-coding RNA, 550 nt
Filed under: Xanthomonas citri pv. punicae
Lineage: Bacteria; Pseudomonadati; Pseudomonadota; Gammaproteobacteria; Lysobacterales; Lysobacteraceae
Description: partial 16S-23S ribosomal RNA intergenic spacer
Rfam family: Bacterial large subunit ribosomal RNA (bases 345-550)
Source: RNAcentral